CGGCACCGCAUCCUCCCCACGGCACCGCAUCCCUCCCCACGGCACCGCAUCCUCCCCACGGCACCGCAUCCCUCCCCACGGCACCGCAUCCCUCCCCACGGCACCGCAUCCUCCCCACGGCACCGCAUCCCUCCCCACGGCACCGCAUCCCUCCCCACGGCACCGCAUCCUCCCCACGGCACCGCAUCCCUCCCCACGGCACCGCAUCCUCCCCACGGCACCGCAUCCCUCCCCACGGCACCGCAUCCCUCCCCACGGCACCGCAUCCCUCCGCACGGCACCGCAUCCUCCCCACGGCACCGCAUCCCUCCGCACGGCACCGCAUCCUCCCCACGGCACCGCAUCCUCCCCACGGCACCGCAUCCUCCCCACGGCACCGCAUCCUCCCCACGGCACCGCAUCCCUCCCCACGGCACCGCAUCCCUCCCCACGGCACCGCAUCCUCCCCACGGCACCGCAUCCUCCCCACGGCACCGCAUCCCUCCCCACGGCACCGCAUCCCUCCCCACGGCACCGCAUCCUCCCCACGGCACCGCAUCCCUCCCCACGGCACCGCAUCCUCCCCACGGCACCGCAUCCUCCCCACGGCACCGCAUCCUCCCCACGGCACCGCAUCCCUCCGCACGGCACCGCAUCCUCCCCACGGCACCGCAUCCCUCCCCACGGCACCGCAUCCCUCCCCACGGCACCGCAUCCCUCCCCACGGCACGGCCCUGAGAGCCUCGGCCCGACAAGCCCACCUUUCCCGCCUGAUCUCCCGGGAGAGACAGCGCCGGGCGGCGGAGGGAGCCCAGGCUCUGGGAGCGCCUGAAUGGGGACCCAGCGGGGUCCCUUCCUUACUUCCUGGGUGACCGGAGCCGGGCCCUGCUUAUUAAUUGUAGCUUCUUAUUUACAAGACAUUCGCGUGGGUAAUUUUUCAGCACUGACAACUGCAAAACCUUCCGCACCAACUUUUCCCCUCCUUCCCCCCCCCCCCAAGAUGGCAGGUAGUCCCACACGUGUUAAAUGUGUUCGAGUACAUGUUCAAUACAAUAGAUGUAUACAUGUCCAUAGUUAUUCUCGGGCCCUUCUUACCACCCAUCCCCAACUUCACUUUGUAUUUCAUGUCCUGUAUUCACAUUAUGUCUACAGCUAGAGCGGAAGCCCCACGGGGGCGCAAGGGCCUUAUUUCCUCUCUACAGCGGAAGCUCCACCACACCAGGGCGGAAGCGCUUCAUUUCCUCUCUACAGCUAGAGCAGAAGCCCCACGGGGCCGGAAGCGCUUUCAUUUCAUCCCUACAGCUAGAGCGGAAGCUCCCUGAGGGCAGACCAGCUUUCACUUCCUUUCUACAGCUACAGCGGAAGCUCCCUGGGGUGGAAGCUCUUUCAUUUCAUCCCUAUAGCUAGAGCGGAAGCCCCACGGGCCGGAAGCGCUUUCAUUUCGUCCCUACAACUAGAGCGGAAGCCCCACGGGCCGGAAGCGCUUUCAUUUCGUCCCUACAGCUAGAGCGGAAGCCCCACGGGCCGGAAGCGCUUUCAUUUCGUCCCUACAACUAGAGCGGAAGCCCCACGGGCCGGAAGCGCUUUCAUUUCAUCCCUACAGCUAGAGCGGAAGCUCCCCGGGGGCAGACCAGCUUUCCCUUCCUUUCUACAGCUGCAGCGGAAGCUCCCGGGGCGGAAGCGCUUUCAUUUCGUCCCUACAGCUAGAGCGGAAGCCCCACGGGCCGGAAGCGCUUUCAUUUCGUCCCUACAACUAGAGCGGAAGCCCCACGGGCCGGAAGCGCUUUCAUUUCGUCCCUACAGCUAGAGCGGAAGCUCCCCGGGGGCAGAAGCGCUUUCAUUUCGUCCCUACAGCUAGAGCGGAAGCUCCCCGGGGGCAGACCAGCUUUCCCUUCCUUUCUACAGCUGCAGCGGAAGCUCCCGGGGCGGAAGCGCUUUCCUUUUGUCUCCGUGCCCGCUAACACCGAGAUGGGCUGGAGGACACGCGUUGGAAGGCACCGUGUGAGCUGUGCCCAGAGGAGGGGGACCCCAGAAAGCCUCUGUGGAGGCCCAGGGCUGGGAAAGGAAGGCAAGUGUGCCCUAGUGGAGCAGGGAGGGUCCUGCUGGCCUCUGACACCUUUUCCUUCCUUACAAAGGCCUUCUUCCUGUCUGCCCUGGUUGGCCACUCAGCACAGACCAAAACCCAGGGACUUUUACUCCAACAAAUUUCCCCGGGGCAGGACGUCACCUCCAACAAGGGGGCUUGUUCCUGGUCCCUCGAGGUGUCCCUCAGAGGAACGGGCUGCCGUGAGAGGCACUGUGGGGAGGAUCCCGUGGCCAGGGAGGCUGUUGGGAGAGCUCGGUGGGCUGGGACUUAGAAUUAGUUCCGAGUGGAACAUUUUCUUGAAACCAGGAGCUCAGAUGCCCCUCUUGUUCUAUCCUGGUGAAGGAACUCCCAGCAUGGAAACUCCCUCUAAAGAUGGGCCUUUUUGUAUGUCUAUAUAACCUAAACAUACAUAUACCCAUACACAUUCACAUAAACAUAUGAAUCUGUGUUUCAUUUUAAAGGUUACAAAGUACCUC
This is a long non-coding RNA of Antechinus flavipes (yellow-footed antechinus), 2541 nucleotides long. RefSeq lists it as uncharacterized. The transcript is spliced from 2 exons. Lineage: Eukaryota; Metazoa; Chordata; Mammalia; Dasyuromorphia; Dasyuridae. The record is from RefSeq and is a predicted model, not a curated record.